CGGAAGGGGCAAGCGUUGUUCGGAAUCAUUGGGCGUAAAGGGCGUGUAGGUGGUUCUGUAUGUCUAUCGUGAAAGCGUACGGCUCAACCGUAUUUAGUCGGUAGAAACUGCAGGACUUGAGGCUGGGAGGGGCUGGUGGAAUUCCCUGUGUAGCGGUGAAAUGCGUAGAGAUGGGGGAGAACACUCGUGGCGAAGGCGGCCAGCUAGACCAGUUCUGACACUGAGGCGCGACAGCGUGGGGAGCAAACAGGAUUAGAUACCCUGGUAGUCCACGCUGUAAACGAUGGGCACUAGGUGCUGGCGGUCUUGAUCCCGUCGGUGCCGGCGCUAACGCAGUAAGUGCCCCGCCUGGGGAGUACGGUCGCAAGGUUG
This 372-nucleotide ribosomal RNA is filed under the name uncultured organism. Its description in RNAcentral is "bacterial SSU rRNA". It matches the Rfam family "Bacterial small subunit ribosomal RNA", at positions 526 to 896 of the family's 1533-position model. The record is from RNAcentral.